CUGCUGCCUCCCGUAGGAGUCUGGUCCGUGUCUCAGUACCAGUGUGGGGGACCUUCCUCUCAGAACCCCUACGCAUCGUCGCCUCGGUGGGCCGUUACCCCGCCGACUAGCUAAUGCGCCGCAUGCCCAUCCCCCGCCGGAAUCGCUUCCUUUGGCCGCAGACCCAUGCAGGUCCGCGGCGUUACGCGGUAUUAGUCGGGAUUUCUCCCGGUUAUCCCCCUGCGGGGGGCAGGUCGCAUACGUGUUACUCACCCGUGCGCCGGUCGCCGG
This 270-nucleotide ribosomal RNA is filed under the name uncultured bacterium. RNAcentral's name for it is "partial 16S ribosomal RNA". The record is from RNAcentral.